Molecule: RNA transcript, 796 nt
Organism: Carlito syrichta (Philippine tarsier)
Lineage: Eukaryota; Metazoa; Chordata; Mammalia; Primates; Tarsiidae
Gene name: 39S ribosomal protein L47, mitochondrial pseudogene
Exons: 1
Source: RefSeq, a predicted model, not a curated record
AUGGCCGCGGCCGGUUUGGCCGGUCUUUGUAGAAGAGUCUCAACCACCCUUAAGGUUUCCAGGUCGUUACUAACGCCUCAGGUCCCUGCCGGCUCAAGUUGCAGGUUUUCUCUUAGUUUGUUGCCUGAGAAUACACCCAGUGUCACAUCCCUUCAGCAGUGUAGGUUACUUCAUACUACAUUGUCAAGGAAAGGACUGGAAGAAUUUUUUGAUGACCCAAAGAAUUGGGGGAAGAAAAAGUAAAAUCUGGAGCAGCAUGGACUUGUCAGCAAUUAAGGAACAAAAGUAACGAAGACUUACAUAAACUUUGGUAUAUCCUGCUAAAAGAGAGAAAUAUGCUGCUAACCCUGGAACAGGAGGCCAAGCGGCAGAGGUUACCAAUGCCAAGUCCAGAGCGGUUGGAGAAGGUAAUAGAGUCCAUUGAUGCAUUAGAUAAAGUUGUUCAGGAAAGAGAAGAUGCCCUAAGGCUUCUUCAGACUGGUCAAGAAAAAGUUAGACCUGGGGCUUGGAGAAGAGACAUUUUUGGAAGAAUCAUUUGGCACAAGUUCAAGCAGUGGCUUAUACCUUGGUACCUGAAUAAAAGAUGCAACAGGAAACGAUUCUUUGCAAUGCCUUAUGUGGACCGUUUUGUCAGACUGAGACAUGAGAAACAAGCCCACGUUACAGUGAGAAAGAAAAGUUUAGAGAAAAAGAAAGAAAAAUUUCUUCAAGAGAAGUUCCCACAUCUUUCUGAAGCUCAGAAGUCAAGUCUUGCCUAAGAUGUUUGAAUUCUUAAUGUAUCAUUUUAUUUAUCAUG